This 258-nucleotide unclassified non-coding RNA is filed under the name Hevea brasiliensis (rubber tree). The record is from RNAcentral. Lineage: Eukaryota; Viridiplantae; Streptophyta; Magnoliopsida; Malpighiales; Euphorbiaceae.
GCCACAUGGUUAUUAAAAGAACACAACAUAGUGGAAAUGACAUGAGUAAUCAAAUUUCUGUUCAGUUAAUUGUACAGUAGCACUUCUCAUUACAAACUAUACAGUAAAUGAAAUUUCCUUUCUAAUAGUCCAUUCAGAGAGAGAAAUUUGUGUUCAGCUAAUUUACUUAAAUUAUUUUUCAUCCGGCCUCCAGUUAGCAACAGUGGUUGCUCCGCUAAAGAUGAUUAAACAACUCCUCUCAAGCACCAUACAACUUUG